Molecule: ribosomal RNA, 331 nt
Filed under: uncultured bacterium
Lineage: Bacteria
Description: partial 16S ribosomal RNA
Rfam family: Bacterial small subunit ribosomal RNA
Source: RNAcentral
CCUACGGGAGGCAGCAGUGGGGAAUAUUGCACAAUGGGGGAAACCCUGAUGCAGCGACGCCGCGUGAGUGAAGAAGUAAUUCGUUACGUAAAGCUCUAUCAGCAGGGAAGAACUCCUGACCUUACGGUCAGCAGACGGUACCUGAGUAAGAAGCCCCGGCUAACUACGUGCCAGCAGCCGCGGUAAUACGUAGGGGGCAAGCGUUUUACGGAUUUACUGGGGGUAAAGGGGGCGUAGACGGCAGCAAAAGUCUGGGGUGAAAUCCCGGGGCUUAACCCCGGAACUGCUUUGGAAACUGUGCGGCUGGAGUGCAGGAGGGGUAAGCGGAAUU